GACGAACGCUGGCGGCGUGCUUAACACAUGCAAGUCGAACGGAAAGGCCCUGCUUUUGUGGGGUGCUCGAGUGGCGAACGGGUGAGUAACACGUGAGUAACCUGCCCUUGACUUUGGGAUAACUUCAGGAAACUGGGGCUAAUACCGGAUAUGAGCUCCUGCUGCAUGGUGGGGGUUGGAAAGUUUCGGCGGUUGGGGAUGGACUCGCGGCUUAUCAGCUUGUUGGUGGGGUAGUGGCUUACCAAGGCUUUGACGGGUAGCCGGCCUGAGAGGGUGACCGGCCACAUUGGGACUGAGAUACGGCCCAGACUCCUACGGGAGGCAGCAGUGGGGAAUAUUGCACAAUGGGCGGAAGCCUGAUGAAGCAAAGCAGCGUGCGGGAUGACGGCCUUCGGGUUGUAAACAGCUUUAGCCUGUGACGAAGCGUGAGUGACGGUAAUGGGUAAAGAAGCACCGGCUAACUACGUG
This 468-nucleotide ribosomal RNA is filed under the name uncultured bacterium. RNAcentral describes it as "partial 16S ribosomal RNA". It matches the Rfam family "Bacterial small subunit ribosomal RNA", at positions 28 to 507 of the family's 1533-position model. The record is from RNAcentral.